CUUUUCUGCAUCACCAACAACUUUGUGGAUGACAAGGUGGCCGUUGAUAAUGGUCAAAAGACCAUGAGAACAGGUUAAGCCUGUCUGUCUCACAAUGACAGAGCGUGUGUGUGUGUGUGUACAAGGCAGCCACAAGAAUAGAGAACUCCCUGCUCCCAGAGGGCUCGUUUAAGCUCUACCCAGAGAAAAAACAUUUGUUGUUAUAGAGAUGGGACAAUGCUAUAUACACUGUGUUUCUCUCACAACAUUUUCUUUGCAGAAAAUCUGAUGAACUGCUUCUAACGUGUUCAUUACCAAUACAAC
Pelobates cultripes (western spadefoot toad) is the source of this 303-nucleotide non-coding RNA. Lineage: Eukaryota; Metazoa; Chordata; Amphibia; Anura; Pelobatidae. The record is from the annotation of a GenBank genome assembly.